UUACAAAACAAUAGAUUAAUUUUACAAUGAAAAUGUAAUGUUUUUCUUAAACUAUAUAAAUAGAAAU
This 67-nucleotide transfer RNA is filed under the name Libnetis sp. UPOL A00579. Its description in RNAcentral is "tRNA-Gln". The record is from RNAcentral. RNAcentral also lists the same sequence under 1 other name. Lineage: Eukaryota; Metazoa; Arthropoda; Insecta; Coleoptera; Lycidae.